This 71-nucleotide transfer RNA is filed under the name Marmota marmota marmota (Alpine marmot). It matches the Rfam family "tRNA". Rfam says of the family: Transfer RNA (tRNA) molecules are approximately 80 nucleotides in length. Their secondary structure includes four short double-helical elements and three loops (D, anti-codon, and T loops). Further hydrogen bonds mediate the characteristic L-shaped molecular structure. tRNAs have two regions of fundamental functional importance: the anti-codon, which is responsible for specific mRNA codon recognition, and the 3' end, to which the tRNAs corresponding amino acid is attached (by aminoacyl-tRNA synthetases). tRNAs cope with the degeneracy of the genetic code in two manners: having more than one tRNA (with a specific anti-codon) for a particular amino acid; and 'wobble' base-pairing, i.e. permitting non-standard base-pairing at the 3rd anti-codon position. RNAcentral also lists the same sequence under 2 other names. Lineage: Eukaryota; Metazoa; Chordata; Mammalia; Rodentia; Sciuridae. The record is from Rfam by way of RNAcentral.
GCGGUUGUGGCUCAGUGGUAGAGCACUCGCCUAGCAUGUGCGAGGCCCUGGGUUUGAUCCUCAGCACCACA